ACAAGUGGCGGCUGUCGUUGGCUUUUGUUGCUGUCUUAAUUGCGCGACGCGGCUGCUGCCGUGGCUUCUUCGUACUCUGGCUUCCCCACUUCGCUGUCUACUUGUUGCUAUUUUCUGCACUUCCAUUUGCGCUUAGUCAGACUGGGCGGCAGUUGUCGCGAUAUUACGCUUCCCACAAGGCAUUAUGAAUUUUGGCAAACGGUUGUCAGUCGAAGCCGACAGAUUCACACGACAUUAAUUAAUUGAAGCCACAAGCAGCAUCGGACAAAGUGAUUGAUUUAAAAUACAAAUACAGAUCGCGUAUAAUGUAUGAGCUAACAUUCAAGUAUUCUCAGAAUUUUGAAAGGCUCUUCGAGCUGUAUUCCCAAAGCCACUUCGCUUUGGUUGGCUAGCUCUUAAAGAUAGAGUCCCCCAGAGAGCACUUUGAAUUUGAUUUUUCUGGGCCUGGUAUUUUUUGUAUUAUUGUCAGACAUAACUUGGGUGCAUUUUUCUAAUGGAGUGCAUAGUAUACGGACUCCUUUGGAAGAGGCCAGCUUGGAUUUAGAAAAUAGGUUCUCUGGAUCUGGAUGGAGUUGCCUGGGAGGCUGGGUAAGAGAAAUGAAAAAAAUG
Molecule: long non-coding RNA, 609 nt
Organism: Drosophila serrata
Lineage: Eukaryota; Metazoa; Arthropoda; Insecta; Diptera; Drosophilidae
Source: RefSeq, a predicted model, not a curated record